GGAGGUAGUGACAAUAAAUCACAAUGCGGGACUAUACGUCUUGCAAUUGGAUUGAGAACAAUGUACAACUCUUAUCGAUAAGCCAUUGGAGGGCAAGUCUGGUGCCAGCAGCCGCGGUAAUUCCAGCUCCAAUAGCGUAUAUUAACGUUGUUGCAGUUAAAAAGCUCGUAGUUGAAGUGUGGGUGAUCGCUAUUGUGAGACUUCGGUCUCUCGAUAGUAAGUCACCCCCUUCCAGUAUCCAGUAGUGGGUAUUCAGUUACUUACUAUUGUGUGUUGGUCCUUUACUGUGAGAAAAUUAGAGUGUUCAAAGCAGGCGUUUGCUUGAAUAGAUUAGCAUGGAAUAAUAAUUGAAGGCUUUCGUGUUCAAUUUGAUUGGUUUGUUCAUGGAAGCAAGGUUAAAAGGAACAGUUGGGGGUAUUCAUAUUCACUAGUUAGAGGUGAAAUUCUCGGAUUUAUGGAAGAUGAACAAGUGCGAAAGCA
RNAcentral lists this ribosomal RNA (480 nucleotides) under Blastocystis sp. RNAcentral's name for it is "SSU rRNA". It matches the Rfam family "Eukaryotic small subunit ribosomal RNA", at positions 460 to 953 of the family's 1831-position model. The record is from RNAcentral. Lineage: Eukaryota; Bigyra; Opalinata; Blastocystidae.